UUUCUGAAAAGAUUUGCUGAAUUUGAGGUUAGUUUUAUUAUUUGUGCACCACCUCUCAGUUUUAGUGGAAUUUUUUAAGAAGUAGAAAAAUAUAAUCUAUAGAUUUCUGGCCCAGGAAACUAACCAAGGAUUUUUCUCGCAUUCAAAUGAUUUCAGUUUUUUAGUGAAUCUAGCAUUUAAAAAUAAAACAAAUGAUGCCGCCGCAGAACUGAUGCCAAACAGAGGCUUCAGUAAUAAUCACUAUGAAGGCUGUAACCUUUCAUGCUUUUGACAUUUCAAAAGUUGUGACUGUAAGUUUUAGAAUAAUGAAACAAAUUCUAAAUUAUUAACCUAUUGUAUUACAAAUAUGGAAUAACACAUUUCAUAUCGUAGCAUAAUAAUUUUUACAUUAUGAAUGUCCAGAUCAGGGCAAUAAAGCCAUUCCCAUGCAUUUUAGCAGAACUAUCCAAAAGAUGUCAGGUUUUUGGAUGAGAACAACUUGGCAGGGGCUCAUGCAGAAUAUAAAGUCUCAGCUUUAUUCUUGGUGACUGCUGUAUUUCUGCAAAUUUUCUGUUAAAAACAAGAAACUGAAACUUUCUCUAACCUUAACAUUUUUUUUUGAUCUUGUGGAAAUAGAGUACAUUUAUCAUCCAUAUCAUGUAUGUUGAUAAUUGCUUAAACAUGAAAUAAGAGAAAAUAGGGCUGCUACUCACCGUUAAUAACAUGUUAAUGGUAUCCCUACCUUCUAUAUGAACUCUGCACAGGACGUUUAGUCUUAAUAUAGCUCUUCCAGCACAGUUCUUCUGACAUUAUCCUUUCACUAAAUGCUCACCUAGGUAAUUGUAUCCUAUUGAUGAAAGAAAACAAUGGAUAUUCAAUUUCCUUUUUAUCUAGUAAAAGCCACAUUGAGUGAAUCUGCUUAUUAAGUAAAUAGCAAAUAAAUUAAAUGCUGUAAUAAAUGUCUCCAUCUGAAUACACUACAGAGAGGAAGAAAUGAAAUUAUAUAUACAGGUUUAAAAUGAGUUUAAGAUAAAUAUAAAAAUAUUCUAUCCUGAAACAACAUUACAUAAGUGAAAUUCAGAUGGCUCUUAGGGAUGGGUUUCAAAGUAUGUACAAUUUUCAUUACUACAGAAAACUUUAGCUAUUAGUUCAGCAGAACAUUGACACCUUUCUGCUAGUUUGAAUAGUAGCUCUGUGAGCCAUUUCUGUAUUUUACUAAGUAACUAGAAGACCACAAUGAACUAUCACAUCAAUUUUCCUGCUUUUAUCUAUAUAGUGUCGGAGCAUUGGCUGCUCCUCUUCCCUUUGACUUCAUAACAUUGUGGUUCCCCAGGAUGCCCUCAUUGGACUUCUUUCUUCUCUCUACACACAACAAACUUUCUAUCAUCGCUUAAUUAUUAAUCAAGAAUCUGGUAGCUAUUCAAUGUGUGCACGCACAACCCACACACACACACACACACACACACACACACACGUUCUUGAAGCCCAGACUCAGUUACAUAAAAUAAUUCCACUGUCAACCAAAUCAUGAAAAGAUGAAAUAUAUUUCCCUUAAAAGAAAACUACAUUUAAUAAAUAAAAGCACACAACCCACAGGAGGAGGCAGAGCUAUGUGGUUUUCAUUUUGAAAAGUCUGUACUGUUCCCUCCAAAAGCAAUGAUCUGCAGGUACGGGCUAAGCUCUCCCUUGGUGCUUCCCUGGUGUCGGCCAAGGAAUGGUGGGUGGCCUCUGUCUCAUCCAGAACCUCAUUCUGCCCUCCUUCCUCCCACCAGGUCAGAGCUCCUCCUUCUCCGCCCCCAACUCAACUCCUCAGGGACUCAUCUACUGCUUCCCAAACUCAAGCCCAAGGAAAGGCGUAUAGUGAUUUCCUUCUUGCUCUACAUUCGUACAUUAUUUCUGGUUCUAUUUUUAUGUCAUAAGUGUGUGCUUGUCUUUCCUCAAG
This 1921-nucleotide long non-coding RNA is filed under the name Canis lupus familiaris (dog). Its description in RNAcentral is "lncRNA (ENSCAFG00000052985.1, ENSCAFG00805008678.1)". The record is from RNAcentral. Lineage: Eukaryota; Metazoa; Chordata; Mammalia; Carnivora; Canidae.